This 517-nucleotide ribosomal RNA is filed under the name uncultured Bacilli bacterium. RNAcentral's name for it is "bacterial SSU rRNA". It matches the Rfam family "Bacterial small subunit ribosomal RNA", at positions 223 to 732 of the family's 1533-position model. Lineage: Bacteria; Bacillati; Bacillota; Bacilli. The record is from RNAcentral.
GGAUGGACCCGCGUCUGAUUAGCUAGUUGGUAAGGUAACGGCUUACCAAGGCGACGAUCAGUAGCCGACCUGAGAGGGUGAUCGGCCACAUUGGAACUGAGACACGGUCCAAACUCCUACGGGAGGCAGCAGUAGGGAAUCUUCGGCAAUGGACGAAAGUCUGACCGAGCAACGCCGCGUGAGUGAAGAAGGUUUUCGGAUCGUAAAACUCUGUUGUUAGAGAAGAACAAGGAUGAGAGUAACUGUUCAUCCCUUGACGGUAUCUAACCAGAAAGCCACGGCUAACUACGUGCCAGCAGCCGCGGUAAUACGUAGGUGGCAAGCGUUGUCCGGAUUUAUUGGGCGUAAAGCGAGCGCAGGCGGUUUCUUAAGUCUGAUGUGAAAGCCCCCGGCUCAACCGGGGAGGGUCAUUGGAAACUGGGAGACUUGAGUGCAGAAGAGGAGAGUGGAAUUCCAUGUGUAGCGGUGAAAUGCGUAGGUAUAUGGAGGAACACCAGUGGCGAAGGCGGCUCUCUGG